This 492-nucleotide ribosomal RNA is filed under the name uncultured bacterium. RNAcentral describes it as "partial 16S ribosomal RNA". It matches the Rfam family "Bacterial small subunit ribosomal RNA", at positions 29 to 507 of the family's 1533-position model. The record is from RNAcentral.
AGUGAACGCUGGCGGUAGGCCUAACACAUGCGAGUCGAACGGCAGCACAGUAAGAGCUUGCUCUUACGGGUGGCGAGUGGCGGACGGGUGAGGAAUACAUCGGAAUCUACUUUUUCGUGGGGGAUAACGUAGGGAAACUUACGCUAAUACCGCAUACGACCUAUGGGUGAAAGCAGGGGAUCUUCGGACCUUGCGCGAUUGAAUGAGCCGAUGUCGGAUUAGCUAGUUGGCGGGGUAAAGGCCCACCAAGGCGACGAUCCGUAGCUGGUCUGAGAGGAUGAUCAGCCACACUGGAACUGAGACACGGUCCAGACUCCUACGGGAGGCAGCAGUGGGGAAUAUUGGACAAUGGGCGCAAGCCUGAUCCAGCCAUACCGCGUGGGUGAAGAAGGCCUUCGGGUUGUAAAGCCCUUUUGUUGGGAAAGAAAAGCAGCAGGUUAAUACCCCGCUGUUCUGACGGUACCCAAAGAAUAAGCACCGGCUAACUUCGUG